GCUCCCAUAGUCUAGUGGUUAGGACACCGCUCUUUCACGGCGGAGGCAGGGGUUCAAUUCCCCUUGGGAGUGCCA
RNAcentral lists this transfer RNA (75 nucleotides) under Fusobacteriota bacterium. Its description in RNAcentral is "Fusobacteria bacterium (marine metagenome) tRNA-Glu". It matches the Rfam family "tRNA". Rfam says of the family: Transfer RNA (tRNA) molecules are approximately 80 nucleotides in length. Lineage: Bacteria; Fusobacteriati; Fusobacteriota. The record is from RNAcentral.